GCAUUCAUUAAUGAAUACUGGAUUUUAAAAUGAGUCAUGUCAAUCUAGUUGUUUUUUCAAGAUUACAUCACAUAGGACUUGAAAUAAAGUAAUCAAUAGACGUUUUUGGUAAAUACCUCAUUUCCUAGAAAUGCCUGUUGACAUGUACAAAGGUCUAAAAUGGCAGGAGAUCAGGUAAACACAUACAAUGCCAGAUUCAAAUAAAUUAUGACUAUCCUAAUUCCAGUGCUGGACACAUUUUUAGGUCCCUAGUGAGAGUGGGGAGCACAGAUUUGGGAAACAAACCCAUGGGAAUGCAACCUAAUGUACUGAGUGUUCGCUGCAAGUCUAGCACUUUAUAUGACUGUAUUUAGGUAGCAGUAUUCUUAUUUCUUGAAUAAUAAGUGAAGACUCAGGGUCGUAUAAUUUGCUCAUGGACUCACAGGUAGAAAUUCAGGUCUUUCUGAUGUCAGAGCUCACACCAUCCAAGAGCCAGUAGU
RNAcentral lists this long non-coding RNA (479 nucleotides) under Bos taurus (domestic cattle). RNAcentral describes it as "long non-coding RNA NONBTAT022570". Lineage: Eukaryota; Metazoa; Chordata; Mammalia; Artiodactyla; Bovidae. The record is from RNAcentral.